UAUUGUUAGCAAUUACGAUUAUGAGAGUAGCGUAAGGGUGCGUAACACGUAUUGCAAUCUGCCCUUGUACAGGAGGAUAGCUCGGCGAAAGCCGGAUUAAUACUCCGUAAUAUUAUGGUGUGGCAUCACAUGAUAAUUAAAGUCGCAAGAUGGUACAGGAUGAGCAUGCGUCUGAUUAGCUAGUUGGUAGUGUAAUGGACUACCAAGGCGAUGAUCAGUAGGGGAACUGAGAGGUUGAUCCCCCACACUGGCACUGAGAUACGGGCCAGACUCCUACGGGAGGCAGCAGUAGGGAAUAUUGGUCAAUGGAUGCAAGUCUGAACCAGCCAUGCCGCGUGCAGGAAGAAGGCCUUCUGGGUUGUAAACUGCUUUUGCCGGGGGAUAAAAUUCUCAUGCGUGGGAAAUUGAAGGUACCCGGUGAAUAAGCCACGGCUAACU
RNAcentral lists this ribosomal RNA (438 nucleotides) under uncultured bacterium. RNAcentral's name for it is "bacterial SSU rRNA". It matches the Rfam family "Bacterial small subunit ribosomal RNA", at positions 71 to 502 of the family's 1533-position model. The record is from RNAcentral.